AAGUAUGUUUCCAAGGGCCAUGACCAUGGUAUCUCCAACUGCAUGAUAGAGCAGCCUAGGAGAUUUUGAUAGCUCAGACCAACACAGGACCUGUGACUGCCACUCACCUUUCCUAUAAAG
Jaculus jaculus (lesser Egyptian jerboa) is the source of this 120-nucleotide small nucleolar RNA. The record is from Ensembl. Lineage: Eukaryota; Metazoa; Chordata; Mammalia; Rodentia; Dipodidae.